GAGGGUGUAGCUCAGUGGUAGAGUACAUGCAUGAUUAGCAUGUGUGAGGCCCUUGGUUCAACCCCCAGAAACCAUA
Molecule: transfer RNA, 76 nt
Filed under: Marmota monax (woodchuck)
Lineage: Eukaryota; Metazoa; Chordata; Mammalia; Rodentia; Sciuridae
Description: tRNA.Ile
Source: RNAcentral